AGGCUGCAACUCGCCUACAUGAAGUCGGAGUUGCUAGUAAUCGCGGAUCAGAAUGCCGCGGUGAAUGCGUUCCCGGGUCUUGUACACACCGCCCGUCACACCAUGGAAGUUGGGGGCGCCCGAAGUUGCCUAAGAAAUAAGGUACCUAAGGCGAAACCAAUGACUGGGGUGAAGUCGUAACAAGGUAAC
This 189-nucleotide ribosomal RNA is filed under the name uncultured bacterium. RNAcentral's name for it is "partial 16S ribosomal RNA". It matches the Rfam family "Bacterial small subunit ribosomal RNA", at positions 1302 to 1500 of the family's 1533-position model. The record is from RNAcentral.